CCGGUUUUAAUCAAAGGAAACUGGUCACAUUUUGAAGAGAUGUCAAAUUGUCAACAAUACAUUACUGGAUACGCCGUGUUGGGGACCUUCCUAUCUAUUUCCGUCAGCAUUAAUAUAGGAGUAAUCGUCCACUGUCUAAGAAUGCGUUUCAGAAAUUCCAGGACUCAAACAACUUCCAAUGAACUACAAACAUACCAUAUACCCGAUCAUGAGGACAACUAUGACAGUUUAGAUUCAUCAAAAAUUAACACUACACGUAACGUUUAUGAUACCAUUGUUAAAUAGUGGGAGAAAAGGGAAAAUAUUAGUGAAAAUAUUUCCUUUAAUCUUUUUAUAAAAAUUCGUUGGUUAAAUUUUGUUUAUGGAGGAAAUGGAGUAGUAAACCACUUCGUAAUCAUAUGAUACAUACAGAGUCGAGUUAUAUGUAGACUUAUCAUAGAUUAGAUAUAUAUAUACGUUAACGUGGCUUUGAUCUAUAUGUGUUAAUGCGAAAACAGGUUCCAUUGCCAAUUAUACUUCAAUAGCCAUUUUCACACCCUAGUUUAGGAAAAAUGUUAUUUGUGAUAGUAAGUAUAUAUGUAGAGAUUGUUAUCAGACUGUACUCUAUAAAUAUAUAGCUUUGUUUGGUUUCACGGAUAUUUUGCCUUUUUCACACAUAUUGUAACACUUAUUAACCAGACUCCUCUUAAUGGACUUUGUAUCUUGUGUCAGUUAAACCUAAAAAAGGGAAUGCAGGCCAAACACAAAAUCUAUAUCCUUAAAGUCAGCUGCAAAGUGCAUGUCAAAACAUGAGCUGUAUUUUAGUGUCUUGAUUUUGAAUGUCAAUAUCUUAUCCGAUAAACAUGAUAAAGUAAGAUAGGAUUUUUAUUUACGUUUUAAUGAACAUCACUUUUACUUUGAUACAUACCAUCGCUACACGGAAAAUGCUCUUGCUUACGUAUCCAUACCUUCUUCCUUGUGAAAAGUUUUUAUUUUCUUGUAACGAAUAUUCAAAAUCCCUUUUUAUGUCCUGAUGUUUCUAGAAUUAGUGAAAUAAAUGAUGACAUUUUUCAUCACAAACCCAUCUAUAUACAUAUAUUUCAUCACAAGACCUAGUUACUGAUUACAUAAUAGUUAUCCCUUUGGAACUAUCAGAGAACACGUGGUCUGAUGUCAGCAUACCAUUCUAGUGCAUAUUAAAAUACGAUUGUAUAAAAACGCAUCAUGGAUGUACUUGAAGUGAAACAGUUAUUUACAGUAUCAUUUGUGAGCCACACACUAAGCAUACAUAUUUGCAUGAUUUAUGAGAUAUAUUUUCAUUAUUUCAAUAACGUCAAAGCAGAUUUAUUAGAGUGUCUGCCUUGUUUAGCGUUGUUCUAUAGGCUAUCCAUUUGAAAAUGUUUGCUGAUGACUGAACAAUUAUACCGUCGUACGUUUGGUUCUGUACCAUCAUUAAGGAAGUAUACCUUGAUAUCGGAUGUAAACAAUAUAUGAAGGCAUAAUAACAAACAUCUGAUAUUAUCAUAUACUAUUAAGCAUAAUAAACAUAAUCUUGUGUAUUAUAAUAACAUCAGACAUAAUAAUCACAUUACUUCUAAAAAAAUACAUUAGCUAAAGGUAUUCUUGGCAUGAUCAAUGGAAUCAAAGUACAUUUUGUUAAGGUAAAUGCAAUAUAUCAAUGUGAUCAUUUCCAUAUUUUAUGUAAGAAUUAUGAUGCGUAGGAUCGUAAUUGUAUAGUUUUGUGGCAAUGUUAAUGAAUGCUGGAUUUAAAGUUUAUAUGA
Molecule: long non-coding RNA, 1760 nt
Organism: Pecten maximus
Lineage: Eukaryota; Metazoa; Mollusca; Bivalvia; Pectinida; Pectinidae
Exons: 4
Source: RefSeq, a predicted model, not a curated record